UGAGGAAUAUUGCGCAAUGGGGGCAACCCUGACGCAGCAACGCCGCGUGAGUGAGGAAGGUUUUCGGACCGUAAAGCUCUGUCGAGCGGGAAGAAAUGCAUGGUGGCUAAUAUCCAUCAUGCUUGACGGUACCGCUAAGGGAAGCACCGGCUAACUCCGUGCCAGCAGCCGCGGUAAUACGGAGGGUGCGAGCGUUGUUCGGAAUUAUUGGGCGUAAAGAGCGUGUAGGCGGCCGAAUAAGUCAGAUGUGAAAUCCCUGGGCUUAACCCAGGACGUGCAUUUGAAACUAUUCGGCUGGAGUAGGGGAGAGGAAAGUGGAAUUCCUGGUGUAGAGGUGAAAUUCGUAGAUAUCAGGAGGAACACCGGUGGCGAAGGCGACUUUCUGGCCCUAUACUGACGCUGAGACGCGAGAGCGUGGGUAGCAAACAG
This 429-nucleotide ribosomal RNA is filed under the name uncultured bacterium. RNAcentral's name for it is "bacterial SSU rRNA". It matches the Rfam family "Bacterial small subunit ribosomal RNA", at positions 355 to 775 of the family's 1533-position model. The record is from RNAcentral.